UGAGAGACUCAUAAUAAAUUAUAAAACAAACUUAAUGGAUGGACAAAAGCGAUGUCAGCAAUUACUAAAGGCAACAAUAGUAUAUUACUGUUUAAUAGUCAUCAAUUGAUUAAGCAGAAACAAAUCUGGAUCACAAACCAUAACGAAGGAAAAUGCACCUACUAUAAGAGAAAAACAAAGGAAAAACAGAAACACUGAACUACAAGAAAAACAUACACCAACA
This 223-nucleotide long non-coding RNA is filed under the name Mytilus galloprovincialis (Mediterranean mussel). Lineage: Eukaryota; Metazoa; Mollusca; Bivalvia; Mytilida; Mytilidae. The record is from RNAcentral.